CGGAGCAUAGCGUAGUCCGGUAGCGCGUCUAGUUUGGGACUAGGAGGUCAUGUGUUCAAAUCACAUUGUUCCGA
This 74-nucleotide transfer RNA is filed under the name Navicula ramosissima. Its description in RNAcentral is "tRNA-Pro". It matches the Rfam family "tRNA". From Rfam's summary of the family: Transfer RNA (tRNA) molecules are approximately 80 nucleotides in length. Their secondary structure includes four short double-helical elements and three loops (D, anti-codon, and T loops). Further hydrogen bonds mediate the characteristic L-shaped molecular structure. tRNAs have two regions of fundamental functional importance: the anti-codon, which is responsible for specific mRNA codon recognition, and the 3' end, to which the tRNAs corresponding amino acid is attached (by aminoacyl-tRNA synthetases). tRNAs cope with the degeneracy of the genetic code in two manners: having more than one tRNA (with a specific anti-codon) for a particular amino acid; and 'wobble' base-pairing, i.e. permitting non-standard base-pairing at the 3rd anti-codon position. Lineage: Eukaryota; Bacillariophyta; Bacillariophyceae; Naviculales; Naviculaceae. The record is from RNAcentral.